UUUUUAUGAGAGUUUGAUCCUGGCUCAGGACGAACGCUGGCGGCGUGCCUAAUACAUGCAAGUCGUACGCUUCUUUUU
This 78-nucleotide ribosomal RNA is filed under the name Enterococcus faecium. Its description in RNAcentral is "partial 16S ribosomal RNA". It matches the Rfam family "Bacterial small subunit ribosomal RNA", at positions 1 to 77 of the family's 1533-position model. The record is from RNAcentral. Lineage: Bacteria; Bacillati; Bacillota; Bacilli; Lactobacillales; Enterococcaceae.